UUUACUAGGGUAAGCUUGGCGGCGUGGGUGAAGGAGGCUUUGUUGCGGAAUAGAAAGCCGACUCUUGAUUUGAUUUUCGAUUGGAGAUGUUUGAUGUGAGUCUGGAAGGAGAGUUUGCAGUCUAGCCAGACACCUAGGUACUUAUAGAUGUCCACAUAUUCAAGGUCGGAACCAUCCAGGGUGGUGAUGCUAGUCGGGCAUGCGGGUGCAGGCAGCGAUCGGUUGAAAAGCAUGCAUUUGGUUUUACUCGCGUUUCAGAGCAGUUGGAGGCCACGGAAGGAGUGCUGUAUGGCAUUGAAGCUCGUUUGGAGGUUAGAUAGCACAGUGUCCAAUGACGGGCCGAAAGUAUAUAGAAUGGUGUCGUCUGCGUAGAGGUGGAUCAGGGAAUCGCCCGCAGCAAGAGCAACAUCAUUGAUAUAUACAGAGAAAAGAGUCGGCCCGAGAAUUGAACCCUGUGGCACCCCCAUAGAGACUGCCAGAGGACCGGACAGCAUGCCCUCCGAUUUGACACACUGAACUCUGUCUGCAAAGUAAUUGGUGAACCAGGCAAGGCAGUCAUCCGAAAAACCGAGGCUACUGAGUCUGAUAUAAGAAUAUGGUGAUUGACAGAGUCGAAACCAAGGGCUGUAUGAUGAUCAACUCUGUUCUACUGAGUUUGUAUGCCAGUGUAACGGUGUAAUGAAGUUAUAUUUUUUAAAUAUAUGUAACCUUUAUUUAACGAGGCAAGUCAGUUAAGAACAAAUUCUUAGUUACAUUUACGGCCUACCCCGGCCAAACCCUAACCCAGAUGAUGCUGGGCCAAUUGUGGACUGCCCUAUGCGACUCCAAGUCACAGCUUGUUAUGUUAGUGAGGCCCCUAGCACUGAGAUGCCGUACCUUAGACUGCUGAGCUGCUGGUGUGUUUACAUUACACUCCGUGUAAUACACUCAGUGAUAAAGGCAUGGGAUUCACGGUAAUCCACAGCAGAUUUUUGGAGAAUUUGAAAAUUGAGGGGUCCUGGGAUAGAAAUGUAUAAAAUUGACAUUACAUCAUACAUUAGCAAUUUAUGUUUUAGUAACUACUGUUGUUGGUUUGGAGUCAAAUAUUUGUACCUCCUGUUUCAUGAAGUGAUGUCACUGAGUACUGCCCCUAUAUAUACAGAGCAUUCAGGAAGUAUUCAGACCCCUUCACCCUUUCUACAUUUUGUUACGCCUUAUUCUUACAUGGAUUAAAUAUUUUUUCCCCCUCAUCAAUCUACACAUAAUACCCAAUAAUGACAUGACAAUACCCCACAAUGACAUCACAAUACCCCAUAAUGACAUCACAAUACCCCAUAUUAAAAAGCAAAAACAGGUUUUUAUAAAUUAUAAAUUAAAAAACAUGAUUUUCUUUCAAAAACAAGGACAUUUCUAAGUGACCCCAAACUUUUGAAAUGUAUUUUAAAUUAUUUUUAUAACAAGGCUAACGUAAUACAAUGCGGAAACAGUGGGAAGGAAUGUUGGUACACCAUGUUGGAGCAGUAUUUACCUACUCUGUUCAUUAUAUGCAUCUACAUGAUGUAUUGUUACAUGAUGUAGGAGCAGUAUAGACCGACAGUAGCUUGCUACUUAUUUAGAUUUAGUAUGACUUAAUGAAACUGCCUUAAAUAUGUUGUAGUAAAAAAAAAGCACUAAUCAAUCAACACAUUCCUGUCUUUUGUAUGUCUCAAUAUAAUAGUAUUAUUUAAUUAAAUCCAUUUAAAAUAAUCUUUGUCUGAAAAUAAAAUGUGAUCCUCAACUGCGUUUCCCCUCCAGUCAGCAGACGGCGAUGUGCGUCUUUCAGGCGACGUUGCCAGCGUUACGUAUAAUCUAGUGGACGGUUCUUCAGAAACAGCUCGUCAAACACCUCGGUAGCUUGCUAACCAACAUAGCCGAACGAUUCAAGCUAUUUAUUCGCUUUAGGUGUAUAUUAACUACUGUGUUUUAGACACUCCUCUGUUGUAUCUACUUGUUAACCUAUUUAAUUUAAUAUUACGUUAUGAGUCAGCUAUAGUAGCUGGCUGGUUAAGUUAGCACUAGCCUAGUCGCUAAUGAUAGAUAGCUAGCUAACAUCCCCGACCAUGAGCUCCCUACACUACUCCCCUCCUGUUAAAGAAGAGUUAGGGUCUGCUGGACGGAGAAAGAAUAUCUGGGGCUGAACAUUGUUGUGAAAGAGGAGAAGGAAGAACAGGAUGUUACAGUAAAACAAGAAGAGGAAGAUUUGGUUUUUGGAGUGGAGGAUGAAGUGAAAGAAGAUGAAGACGUUUUUGGAAUGAAGGAUGAGGAGGGGGAGAUUACUGUCACAUUAGAGGAGGGCGAAGAAGAGAAGACUGGAGAACUGAUUAACACCAGUUAAUACAUUGAGAGAGAUACGGGACUAUCGUGGAUCCUCAACAACAUCAUGAUGCUGACGAGGCAGAGAAGAGUCUCCAGAUCGAAACACCUGCAGAGACCCACAGGGAUGAAAUUUCACCACUGCUCUGACUGUGGGAAGAGUUACUCAAGAUCAGAAAGAUUCACCUCUUCAGUAGACCUUAAAAUACAUCAGAGAAUUCACACUGGAGAGAAACCUUAUGUCUGUGAUCAAUGUGGGAAGAGUUUUACUCAGUCAAGCGGCCUGAUAUCACACCAGAUAACAUACACAGGAGUGAAACCAUAUAGCUGUACUCAAUGUGGGAAGAGUUUUGCUACAUCUGGCUAUCUGAAGAUACCAGAGAAUACACACAAAAGAGAAACCUUAUAACUGUAAUCAAUGUGGUAAGAGUUUUACUCAAGUCAAACAGCCUGAUAUAACACCAGCGGACACACACAUGAGAGAAACCUUAUGGCUAUGAUCAAUGUGACAAGAGAUACUCUGAUAAAAUAUAUCUAAUCAAACAUCAUGAAAUACAUACAUGAAGGAGUUGUUUCACGAUAUCAAUGAAAUAUUGUCACAAUGUAGAAUGUUUUAACAUUGUUGAAGGAGUAUUUUAAUGAUGCCCCGAUGUAGAACCCUAAAUGUUUUCCCCCUGUUCAAUUUGAUAAAUUGAUUUCAGCAUGAUAUGGAUUUUAGCCUCAGGGGAAAAAUCCAGGUUCUGAAUUGAAAGAGUAUUAUUUAUGUGAUUUAACAAAACUGUACUAACAAAAAAAGAGUUGUGUUACACUUACCACAUUGGUGACCCUCUUUAAUCAAAAUGCAACACUUCAAAAUGUAGCGAGCUGUUUACAUCUAUUACUAUUUAUGUAAAUUAACAAAAAGUGAUGAACAAAAAAAGAGCAGAUGUGAUGUUGUUUGUAUGAUGUUGUGUUUUGUUUAUAAAAUUAAAUGUAAAUAUUUUCAGGUCUUUUUUCAAUGACUUGAUAAAUUAA
Oncorhynchus nerka (sockeye salmon) is the source of this 3345-nucleotide long non-coding RNA. RefSeq lists it as uncharacterized. Lineage: Eukaryota; Metazoa; Chordata; Actinopteri; Salmoniformes; Salmonidae. The record is from RefSeq and is a predicted model, not a curated record. The transcript has 2 exons.